AUCAUGAAUCGAGAUGAAUCAAAAUUUAUUGAUUAGACUUUUAGUACAGAGCAAGUGGUGGAACUUUAUUUAGUUAUAAACAACGAAUCACUCAGAUUGACAUCUUCCAGCUUUUAGCUCUUGCAUUGGACUGAUAAAGUUUUGAUUUUUCUGUGUAUCAUAAAGAUCAAUAUCCAAACUGGAGAAGAAGAAGCUGCUGUGAAGCUGGUAUAAUUUAUGAGCUCAGUUUUGGUUUCUCAUUUAAAUAAGUGUUUUUUUUUUGCUGAGAAACGUUUCAAUUUUGAGACUUUUUGUUUGAAUUUGAUAGUAUUAGCAAGACUUCAUUGCUGUAGAUGGUCAUGUUUCAUUGUUCCUUUAUUGUUAAUUGAUCUUUUGUUGCAUUUAUGACACACAGGAACCUACGAAGACGAGGCUUCUCAACUACACUAUGAAUCGUAAAUACUAUUAUAGAUGUGGGGAAGAGAGUUGGUUUCUCUGGUCAUUUAUAUGAAUUUUAAUUUUCAACCCACUAUCUCUGCCCUCUGUUGGCUUGACCUUUUUGGGACGAGCUUGGAGACGUACGUAUUCAACCUCUGCAAUCGGAUGUUUACGUUCAAAUCUAUUUUAAUGCUUGCAGAUCAAUUGGUUAAUAUCAUUGAUAUGACUGGUGUAAUCUUAGCCCUAUGCAGUGUUGGUGGUGUGCAGAGUCAGUCUAUUAUAGUCGACAUGCAAAUGAGGAAAUAAGAAGUUGCAAGAAUCUACAGCAAAUGGAGUUUACUCCAGGUAGAAUUCUUUUACUCCCCUCUAUCCUAUGUAGACCUUCUCCUUGAAGAUAUUGUCUUUUAAUUUUCAGGAAGCCUCUUAUUCUGAUAUUUUGGGGUUUGGAAUACAUGUUAUUGUAGGUGUGCAUCCCAACACCAUUUUGAGCAGAAUCAAAAAGAAAAAGCAAAGAACAAUGAUGCGCAGAAGCAGCUGGGAAGAAAAGAAAUCGUAAUAGCUCAGAAAAAUGUAGCUAGAAACAUUUUUCUAGCCUAAACAGGUGCUUUAUGUAUUUCGCUAACGAUCUGGAAUGUUACCAAUAAUAUUUUUAUAUGUUAGUGUAAUCUCAAUAAGAUUCACAAUUGGUUAAGCCUUUGAGGAUCAUAUGUACAACAAGAAAAGAAAAACAAUGCAAAAAUUCCAUGUAUUUUGAUCUGUA
This is a long non-coding RNA of Brassica napus (rape), 1177 nucleotides long. RefSeq lists it as uncharacterized. Lineage: Eukaryota; Viridiplantae; Streptophyta; Magnoliopsida; Brassicales; Brassicaceae. The record is from RefSeq and is a predicted model, not a curated record. The transcript has 2 exons.